RNAcentral lists this non-coding RNA (31 nucleotides) under Mus musculus (house mouse). The record is from RNAcentral. Lineage: Eukaryota; Metazoa; Chordata; Mammalia; Rodentia; Muridae.
UUUUAUGACCUUUGGUUAAUUGCUUUAUAAC